Molecule: ribosomal RNA, 301 nt
Filed under: uncultured bacterium
Lineage: Bacteria
Description: partial 16S ribosomal RNA
Rfam family: Bacterial small subunit ribosomal RNA
Source: RNAcentral
CAGCAGCCACGGGAAUACGUAGGGUGCAAGCGUUAAUCGGAAUUACUGGGCGUAAAGCGUGCGCAGGCGGUUCGUUAAGACAGAUGUGAAAUCCCCGGGCUUAACCUGGGAACUGCAUUUGUGACUGGCGGGCUAGAGUAUGGCAGAGGGGGGUAGAAUUCCACGUGUAGCAGUGAAAUGCGUAGAGAUGUGGAGGAAUACCGAUGGCGAAGGCAGCCCCCUGGGCCAAUACUGACGCUCAUGCACGAAAGCGUGGGGAGCAAACAGGAUUAGAUACCCCUGUAGUCCCUGUCUCUUAUAA